Molecule: long non-coding RNA, 301 nt
Organism: Lytechinus variegatus (green sea urchin)
Lineage: Eukaryota; Metazoa; Echinodermata; Echinoidea; Temnopleuroida; Toxopneustidae
Exons: 3
Source: RefSeq, a predicted model, not a curated record
UUUGAUGGGAAAUAUCAUCAAAAAAUAAUAAUGCAAUGGAUGCCAACGUAUAUCUUUCUUUUUUCCCCCAUAAAUAGUAUCGAGGAUCAAUUCCAAAGACCUCAGUUGGAUUCUGACACUGUGGAGCACACCAGAGCGAUUUCACCAUCAGAAGCUGAAUCUCCUGAUUCAACCCCAGUCCCAAGUGCAUCAACAAUCAUCAAUAUUCCCAUUUCAAGGACUUCUUCAUCAAGCUCAACUUCACAAGGAAGUCAGAUCAGAUCUGGUGUGACACAACUCAUGCAAGGCCCCCUUUCAAGGU